AGUGAACGCUGGCGGUAGGCCUAACACAUGCAAGUCGAACGGCAGCACAGUAAGAGCUUGCUCUUACGGGUGGCGAGUGGCGGACGGGUGAGGAAUACAUCGGAAUCUACUUUUUCGUGGGGGAUAACGUAGGGAAACUUACGCUAAUGCCGCAUACGAACUACGGGUGAAAGCAGGGGAUCUUCGGACCUUGCGCGAUUGAAUGAGCCGAUGUCGGAUUAGCUAGUUGGCGGGGUAAAGGCCCACCAAGGCGACGAUCCGUAGCUGGUCUGAGAGGAUGAUCAGCCACACUGGAACUGAGACACGGUCCAGACUCCUACGGGAGGCAGCAGUGGGGAAUAUUGGACAAUGGGCGCAAGCCUGAUCCAGCCAUACCGCGUGGGUGAAGAAGGCCUUCGGGUUGUAAAGCCCUUUUGUUGGGAAAGAAAAGCAGCAGGUUAAUACCCCGCUGUUCUGACGGUACCCAAAGAAUAAGCACCGGCUAACUUCGUG
RNAcentral lists this ribosomal RNA (492 nucleotides) under uncultured bacterium. Its description in RNAcentral is "partial 16S ribosomal RNA". It matches the Rfam family "Bacterial small subunit ribosomal RNA", at positions 29 to 507 of the family's 1533-position model. The record is from RNAcentral.